GCCGCUAUGGUGAAAUCGGUAGA
This 23-nucleotide transfer RNA is filed under the name Ranunculus trichophyllus. Its description in RNAcentral is "partial tRNA-Leu". RNAcentral also lists the same sequence under 9 other names. The record is from RNAcentral. Lineage: Eukaryota; Viridiplantae; Streptophyta; Magnoliopsida; Ranunculales; Ranunculaceae.